CCUACGGGAGGCAGCAGUGAGGAAUAUUGGUCAAUGGGCGGGAGCCUGAACCAGCCAAGCCGCGUGAGGGAAGACGGUCCAGUGUAUUGUAAACCUCUUUUGUCAGGGAACAAAGCCGGGGACGAGUCCCCGGAUGAGGGUACCUGAAGAAAAAGCAUCGGCAAACUCCGUGCCCGCAGCCCGGGUAAUACGGAGGAUGCGAGCGUUAUCCGGAUUUAUUGGGUUUAAAGGGUGCGCAGGCGGACUGUUAAGUCAGCGGUAAAAGUCCGGGGCUCAACCCCGGCCCGCCGUUGAAACUGGCGGGCUGGAGUGGGCGAGAAGUACGCGGAAUGCGCGGUGUAGCGGUGAAAUGCUGAGAUAUCGCGCAGAACUCCGAUUGCGAAGGCAGCGUACCGGCGCCACACUGACGCUGAGGCACGAAAGCGUGGGUAUCGAACAGGAUUAGAUACCCCAGUAGUC
RNAcentral lists this ribosomal RNA (459 nucleotides) under uncultured bacterium. RNAcentral's name for it is "partial 16S ribosomal RNA". It matches the Rfam family "Bacterial small subunit ribosomal RNA", at positions 338 to 795 of the family's 1533-position model. The record is from RNAcentral.